AUGAUAGUAAGUAAAGAUCUUGAGCAGAAAUUUAAAAAAGUUUUUAGAUAUUCUUCUAACCAAUUUCCAGAAAAUUUCUCGCUAGAGGACAAAGCUCAUUACCCUAGAAAAGGGAUAACAUGCUAGUAGGACAAUCUGUAUCAUAGAGAGAGGCUAACAUUAAGAGUGAGAUCAGUGACAUUGCAGAAGCAAAGAAGGAAAGUAGCUAUUGCUAAAAAAGCACGCAAAAUCUGACAAUACUCAAUAAACGAAUGGGGGAUCCAAUAAACGAUCAAAAGCUCCGGAUUUAUCAAAUAAACCAGCAAAGAAUGCUUCUUUGGCAAAAGAACAACCAGGAGAGAUGGUACUCAUACAAAAGAGGUUGUUCAAAAAGUGGAUAAUGCCGAGUUAAUGCUAAUCUUCCAAAACGACAAGAAGAUCGCGCUAAACAACGAAAAGUUCUUA
Non-coding RNA from Cinara cedri, 444 nucleotides. Lineage: Eukaryota; Metazoa; Arthropoda; Insecta; Hemiptera; Aphididae. The record is from the annotation of a GenBank genome assembly.